AUACGGAGGAUCCGAGCGUUAUCCGGAUUUAUUGGGUUUAAAGGGUGCGCAGGCGGCCAUUUAAGUCAGCGGUUAAAUCGUGGGGCUCAACCCCAUUCUGCCGUUGAUACUGGGUGGCUUGACUGCGGUCGAGGUUGGCGGAAUUCGUUGUGUAGCGGGGAAAUGCAUAGAUAUGACGAAGAACACUGAUUGCGUAGGCAGCUGACCAGACCGCAAAUGACGCUCAUGCACGAAAGUGCGGGGAUCGAACAGGAUUAGAUACCCUGGUAGUCCGCACAGUAAACGAUGAAUACUUGUUUUCGGCGAUAUAAUGUCGGAGGCAAAGCGAAAGCGAUAAGUAUUCCACCUGGGGAGUACGCCGGCAACGGUGAAACUUAAAGGAAUUGACGGGG
This 392-nucleotide ribosomal RNA is filed under the name uncultured bacterium. Its description in RNAcentral is "partial 16S ribosomal RNA". It matches the Rfam family "Bacterial small subunit ribosomal RNA", at positions 523 to 918 of the family's 1533-position model. The record is from RNAcentral.